Molecule: unclassified non-coding RNA, 357 nt
Filed under: fungal sp.
Lineage: Eukaryota; Fungi
Description: partial internal transcribed spacer region
Rfam family: Eukaryotic small subunit ribosomal RNA (bases 1-46)
Source: RNAcentral
AAGUCGUAACAAGGUUUCCGUAGGUGAACCUGCGGAAGGAUCAUUAUCAAUAAUCCGAAACUUUUUUUUAAGUUUAUUCUUCAUUGAAUAGCUUAAAAAAAUAUCAACCAACCGUGAACUGUUUUUGCCUCCAACGAGGGGAAGGGGAACGUGCGGGUAACGCUGUGCUAGUACUUUUUUUUCUUUCGUUGGUUGUAUUUUUAUAAUUUUUAUUAUUAACCCUUCUAACAAAACCUUUUUUAAACUUUAAUUCUGAACUGAAUUAAUUUUCUUUUUCCUUUCUAACACAAAGGAAAAUUAAAAUAAAAAUACGAAAAAUUAUUAGAACAACUCUUAGCAACGGAUAUCUUGGUUCUC